GGAUAGGUGGGAGGCUUUGAAGUGUGGACGCCAGUCUGCAUGGAGCCGACCUUGAAAUACCACCCUUUAAUGUUUGAUGUUCUAACGUGGACCCGUAAUCCGGGUUGCGGACAGUGUCUGGUGGGUAGUUUGACUGGGGCGGUCUCCUCCUAAAGAGUAACGGAGGAGCACGAAGGUUGGCUAAUCCUGGUCGGACAUCAGGAGGUUAGUGCAAUGGCAUAAGCCAGCUUGACUGCGAGCGUGACGGCGCGAGCAGGUGCGAAAGCAGGUCAUAGUGAUCCGGUGGUUCUGAAUGGAAGGGCCAUCGCUCAACGGAUAAAAGGUACUCCGGGGAUAACAGGCUGAUACCGCCCAAGAGUUCAUAUCGACGGCGGUGUUUGGCACCUCGAUGUCGGCUCAUCACAUCCUGGGGCUGAAGUAGGUCCCAAGGGUAUGGCUGUUCGCCAUUUAAAGUGGUACGCGAGCUGGGUUUAGAACGUCGUGAGACAGUUCGGUCCCUAUCUGCCGUGGGCGCUGGAGAACUGAGGGGGGCUGCUCCUAGUACGAGAGGACCGGAGUGGACGCAUCACUGGUGUUCGGGUUGUCAUGCCAAUGGCACUGCCCGGUAGCUAAAUGCGGAAGAGAUAAGUGCUGAAAGCAUCUAAGCACGAAACUUGCCCCGA
This 662-nucleotide ribosomal RNA is filed under the name Salmonella enterica. Its description in RNAcentral is "partial 23S ribosomal RNA". It matches the Rfam family "Bacterial large subunit ribosomal RNA", at positions 2141 to 2802 of the family's 2925-position model. Lineage: Bacteria; Pseudomonadati; Pseudomonadota; Gammaproteobacteria; Enterobacterales; Enterobacteriaceae. The record is from RNAcentral. RNAcentral also lists the same sequence under 1 other name.